This 971-nucleotide long non-coding RNA is filed under the name Fragaria vesca (wild strawberry). RNAcentral's name for it is "long non-coding RNA (FVES_LNC000996)". The record is from RNAcentral. Lineage: Eukaryota; Viridiplantae; Streptophyta; Magnoliopsida; Rosales; Rosaceae.
AAACUCCAUAUGAAAAGAAUUGUGGUUAAAGUUCCACUGUUUCAGCCAAUACAUGACCUCCGGAAAAUACAUAUAAGCAAACAACGAAAUAGAAGGUAUAAGAAAAUCAAAAACAAAGAACCAAAGAGGAGUCUAUAGGUGGGCAUACCAAAUGCAUCAAUGGACUGACUUAAUAAUAACAUAAACAGGCAGAAGCACAACAGUAGGGAGACAAAAGAAAUUUUCAUAACAAAAUCUAGAGGAAUCACAUAAAAGGACACACAUUUUCAUAACAAAAUCUAGAGGAAUCCUAUUAAUAUCAUGGUCAACCUGAAACAAGUUAAAAACCUCAAGCCUACAAUUUCAGGACUAAUUUCUGCACACUCACACGCAACUUGCAGAAGUGAAGUUUUCCUAAAAACACUCGAAGCACAAGAAAAACAAAAGUAGAGAACUCAUCUUUGAGGUUCUUGACCAAUUACAGUUGAGCAUUCUCAUUAGCAAAAACAUAUCGCUCAAAUCCACGGCUGAAGCUUCAAUUCCUCAUCCUCCUACUGCAAGCAAAGAUCCAAUUGCAUCAUUAUCGCAAGAACCCAAAAGUAAUAGUUAAAAACCUAAAACAAGAAAGGCAGGGGGAAAUCACCUGAGCAGAGCACACAAAUAGGGCACUAGCAACAUCGAAAUCACUGCCGCCAUGACUUGCAGAUUACAGCGCUCCCAGUCAGUAGCCAAUUGGCUGAAAGCAUUGUCAAUGGCAAGCGCCACUAACACAGUCAGCCACCCUUGGUUGAAUCUAAACCCCUUUGCCUUCUUGGCACAAUCCAAACCGAAACUCCGAGCUUUGUUGCCCAAAUUAGAAGCGCAGUCAAUCGCUUUCUUCGCCAAAUCAGAAGGCACGCCCUCUUCUUUCUUGGCCUCAGCAGAAGCCUUCUUGCCCUCGCCAGUAUCGAGCAGCUUUGCUCUCUUGCCACAGACCUAACCCCCUUGCCCGC